UGUGCUCGAAAUAUUCCAUAUUGAUUUGGGUGGUGUUUUUCCUGGUGUAUACAUGCAUAAAAGUUCCUCAAGCUGUAAACAUAAGAUUUGUGCUUUUCACAGUAUAUAUGUUAUUCCUCAGAAAAUUCACCAAAAAAAAAAAAAAAAGUGAAAGAAAUGAGAGCUUUAUGUAAACAUUAGUGCUAAGAAGAAAUUAAGUGAUGUGAUGGGUAGAUGGGAGGCUGACUGAUCAGAGCUGAGACCUGAAUGGUGAUAUGGAGAUAGCCACGUAAUGAGCUAAGGGACUGCUUUCUGGGAGAUGGGACAGCAAGUGCAAAGGCCCUGCGACAGGAGCACGUUUGGCAUGUUAGAGGAACCUAGUCAAGACCACUCAGCUGGAACCCUGUGAGCAGGGCCAAGGCAAGCCUUUAAGGUGGCUUUUCUAAGAAUGGGGGGAAAGCACAAAGUGUGUGAGGUAAGGGGAGCUGGCAGUACUUUCUGAGAGAUGAGACAAGAGUAAGGGAGAGAGAAGCUUUUGAUGACUUUUAAUUACGUGGCUAGGACAUCUAGAAAGUCUGGGGCUAGGGUUCCACUGACUGAGCAGGAUUGGGGAGGCACUGGAGUCAAAGUUGGUUUGGACACAUUAAAUUGGACGUAUUUUUAGAUACUCAUGGAGCUGUUGGGGAGGCCGUGAGUGGUAGGGUUGAAGUUCUGCACCGGACCCAGGCUGGACAUGGAUGUCAGGAGUACACAGGUGGUGUUUCAAGUCUCAGGCACCUGGGAGAACAGAGAACAAGAAGAAACAGGGCAUUUAAUGACAUGGCAUUUGCACUGAAACUGCUUUAAAAGUGCUUCUGUUAUUUUCAAGGUCUGUUGAGUGUUGUCUCCCCACCAGGCAUCAAGAGCCCAAAAGUGAGCGACUCUGUGCAGUGCUGACCGUUUGGGCUUCAGUCUCUCGAACCAGGGCCAUAGGCACUAAAAUGCAAAUCCCUGGGCCUACCCAUGACCCGCUGAAACAGUGCUGGAGGCAUCUGUAUUUUCCAAGUUCCCUGGUUAACCAGCUCAGUCCUCGGUGCAUUCUGCUCUCGAGCCACACUCCCUCACAGGCCAGGAUGGCAUUCUGUCUAGCCCUGCGCAUGGCCCUGCUGCUCCUCUCCGGGGUCCUGGCCCCUGCAGUGCUCACAGCAAAUUGAGAAAAUACAGAGACAUGUAGAUGAAGAUAAGAAAAUGCUUUGGCCUCUUCCUGGCACCUGUACUUCCUUUGCUGGAAGGCUGGUGGCUGAGUCCAGGCUGCAGUUCGGGCUGCAUAAGCUGCCGGGAGCCGGCAGGCCUUUGGGACCUGGGCUGCUUGGGUGCAGAUGAGCCACUGGGGGUCUCCCGUGAUGGUCAGCUGUGGCACAUGCAGAGUACCCAGAUCCAGCCGCCCUGUGUCUGGCCGGAGAGGCCCUGGGGCUGAGGCCGCAGCUCAUGACGGCAACGACAGCACACUUACUACUUGUGUAAGCCGAGAGAGACAUGGUCCAACUCCCAUUUCACAGGUUGGGAAGUGAAGUUGGGGAGGGGGAGUGAAGUCAGUCUGCUGGAGUCCCAGGGUGGCAGUGUGACAGAGCCAGACUUUGGACCCAGCCCUUUUGAUUUGGAAGCCCACGGGUUCAGCCCCUCAAGCUUUUAGAGGCUGGUUCAGUGCUGGAGGAGAGGCUGCAGGUGGGUGCACACAACAGGGAUGAGGUGGCCUGAGCCAGUGUGUCUGGCAGGGAAGAUCCAGGCUUCUGUGGGGAGCAGCAGAGUAAGGCUGGGUCAUUGGGUAGAAGGGGAGAAGACCUGGGUGGCACACUGCCCUGCUCAGAGGGUGGCCCACUCUCCCCCAGAGAUGGCUCCUGGGCUCUGGCAAAGGGCAGAGGUAGAUGCUUACCUGGAGCUAGCAGGCUCAUUCCCCAAAUGCUACCCCAGUGCUGGGCCUGAUACCCAGUAGCCCUGUGGUGGCCUCCCUGCCAUGGGUGUAUGGGGAGCGAGUAGGGGCCAGGGGUUUGUCCAUUUCCCUGGGAAGACAGGCAGUCUGUGAACCCUAGACCUCAGGGCCUAGGAGUGGAUAUACUCAGGCUUUUUCUCUGGCCCGCCCCUGGGAGCCUGAGGCAAGCAUGUCUGGGUCCUGGCACUUGCCACAGCAGCUACGAGGCUUGCAGACCCCUGCCUGCCCAGGCAGUGACAACAGAGGCCUGCCCCCCUCCUCACGGGGUGGUCUUCAGUUGGUGGGGGGCCAGUGUGGCUCCCAGACACCAGCAUUUUGGUUCAGCAUCAGGCCCUGCGAGCGGGAAGCUUCCCCCACACUGUGUGCCAGGGACCUUUUGCCCCGGGAGGCCUCCUUGCCAUGGCUGUCGGCCUGGCUAUGCCAGCUUGGGUAACCCUUGAGGAAUAGGACAGCGGUCCCUGCCUGCAAGCUGAGCCUCAGAACUGAUCCAGCCCAGGCCUGGGAGAGGCUGCAGGGGCAGGGCCUGGUGAGUCCUACAGUUUGAUUGGGAAGAGAUUUUAAGAUUACAUCGAAGUUGCAAAAAUAAUCCAGGAAACUCCAGCAGAUUCUUAGAUUCAUCUUUCGUGUCUCUAUCUACCCACUUGACCUAUCUGAACGUUGACCACUUGAGAGUAAGUUGUAGACAUCAUGCCUUUUGGCCCCUAAAUGCUUCUAAGAGCAAGGAUAUUUACAUAAACAGCUAUCCAAAUGAGGACAUGGACUUCAAUAUAGUGCUGUUACCUAAGCUACGCAGUCAUACUUCCCCAGUAAACCCUGCAGUGCGCCCCCCAUCCAGGAAUACAUGCUGCGUUCAACCUCUUCGGUCUCUAAUCUGGAACAGUUCCUCAGCCUUUCUUUGUCUUUCUUGACCUGGAUGUUGUUGAAAGCACAGUUAUUUUAAGACUGACCCUGAAUUUGAGUUUGGCUGAUGUUUCCUCGUGAUUGGCCCCAGGUGGGCACUGUUAGCAGGAAAGACCCAGAAAUCCCUUUGUGUCUUCCCAGAACAGCCCCUCUCUGGAAGCCGGUGAGUCUGAAAGCAGCUUGGCUCUGGCUUGUCUGUGCCAGAGGGCGCUCUUAGGGGUGAAGCCUGUGGAGGCAAAGAUGCCUCAGGGCCCUGCAGGCAGGCUGGCUGGGGCUGCAGGAACGACACAACUUCCUCAGUGGUUUCUGGGGGAGUGCAUCCUGCUACUUCAUCGUCUGGGGGCUUCAGAGUCCGAGCAACGCUCCUCCCAGUGGCCCCCCCCCAAGCCUUGGUUUUCUCAGCUCUGAGGCAGGGAUACAACAGUUCCUAGCCACCAAGCAGCUGGAGUCAUGAGAUGCUGUGUUGUGAUGCCUGCUGAGCCCAUUCUAGGGACUGCAUGGGGGCUGAGCAUCCCUGGAUCACAACUGAGAUUAGGCACUGGGGAGCCCUGACCCUGCUACAGCUGAUGAUCAGGGCUGGGCUGGGGAGGCUGGCCUUCUGGUCUUGAACUUUAACGAGGUGGCUGGGGCCUCCGGUCUGCGAAGGGAGGAUGGGUCCAGGGUUGGGGUAGUGCUGUGAGACUCCUCAGACCAGGAUCCUUGGUGGGGAGGGGAGUGAAAUUGGCAUGGGCUGGCAUGGUAGAGGUGGAGAUAUGGGGAUGGGGUUAUCACACAGGCCUCUCAGUCUCAGCCUGUCCCGUUCCCUGAGGCCCCUGGGUACUCCAAACCUUGUUAACUCCCAGCCCAUGAGCAGAGAAAGGCCUCUGCAUAAAAUGCUGCACAGAGACUGAUAUGCUGAUUGAGCCCCAGCUUGUAUGGGGGUCGGGGGGGGGCAUCAUCCCUUUCUUGGGGCUUCCCUUACACUGACCACAGACACUCCUGCCCAUUCCUCUGGCCCUGUUCUGUCUGGAAGCAGCAAUAUGCUGGUGUCACAGUUUCUUAGGAUAGAGUCCCCUUGAGGUUUAAGCCUCAGAACAUGGGGUAUGUGUGGGUGCUGGACCCCAAGUCCUGUGGACUGUGGCUCUGCCCAGGUUAGGCCAAAGGAGGGGAAGCAAAGGAGGAGUUUGCCUCUCUUCCCCACCUCCUGCAGCAGUAGCCCCCUCAUGGGGCUCUGGGUAGGCAGGACCCCUGGUUCUUGAAGGGGGAGUGCCUCACCUUCCUGGCCUCUUCUCCAGGGUGAAGGCUGACCAGCCUGCCUGGCAGGCGUCUCUCACAAGUGUCAGUCAUCUCAUCCAGGCCUUCAGAGCCCAGCAGUUCAGAGGAAGGACCGCAGGCUGUGCUGGGAGAGGUGAAGUGCCCUGCUCCUGCCCCUGCCAUCCUGAAGCUCUGCUGCCAGCUCAGGGUCCUCACAGCUGUUUUCUAGGAGAACCUGUUGGUCCCCCUCCCUCCUCCUCCCCCCAUCAGUCUGUCUUCACUGGGCUCGGAAGCAGCCUGGCCACAAUAGGGGUCCUGGAGCCCCUGUAAAACGGGAGGACUGGUGCAGUGCUGACCCCAGAGUCCCGCACACAGCGCCGCCUCCGCAGUUGGUUAACGGCGGGGGGCCACGUCCCUGCUGGCCCUGCCGCCUGCCUGCGCCCCAGCGCCUGUCCUUGGCCUUGCAGCCGAGGGCCCACAGGAGCCCGCGCCCACCCUGUGGAACGAGCCCGCCGAGCUGCCGUCGGGAGAGGGCCCCGUGGAGAGCACCAGCCCCGCCCGGGAGCCCGCGGCCACCGGGCCCCCGACCCCCACCGCCGAGCCGAGCCCCGAGGACAGCACGGCGCGGGAGCGUCUGGACCA
This is an RNA transcript of Ailuropoda melanoleuca (giant panda), 4723 nucleotides long. It is a transcript of the gene named secondary ossification center associated regulator of chondrocyte maturation, with no coding region annotated. The transcript is spliced from 3 exons. The record is from RefSeq and is a predicted model, not a curated record. NCBI's taxonomy places the organism in Eukaryota, Metazoa, Chordata, Mammalia, Carnivora, Ursidae.